Molecule: ribosomal RNA, 497 nt
Filed under: uncultured bacterium
Lineage: Bacteria
Description: partial 16S ribosomal RNA
Rfam family: Bacterial small subunit ribosomal RNA
Source: RNAcentral
GAUGAACGCUGGCGGCGUGCCUAAUACAUGCAAGUCGAGCGAACAGACGAGGAGCUUGCUCCUCUGACGUUAGCGGCGGACGGGUGAGUAACACGUGGAUAACCUACCUAUAAGACUGGGAUAACUUCGGGAAACCGGAGCUAAUACCGGAUAAUAUAUUGAACCGCAUGGUUCAAUAGUGAAAGACGGUUUUGCUGUCACUUAUAGAUGGAUCCGCGCCGCAUUAGCUAGUUGGUAAGGUAACGGCUUACCAAGGCAACGAUGCGUAGCCGACCUGAGAGGGUGAUCGGCCACACUGGGACUGAGACACGGUCCAGACUCCUACGGGAGGCAGCAUUAGGGAAUCUGCCGCAAUGGGCGAAAGCCUGACGGAGCAACGCCGCGUGAGUGAUGAAGGUCUUCGGAUCGUAAAACUCUGUUAUUAGGGAAGAACAAAUGUGUAAGUAACUAUGCACGUCUUGACGGUACCUAAUCAGAAAGCCACGGCUAACUACGUG